Small nucleolar RNA from Amaranthus tricolor (Joseph's coat), 83 nucleotides. RefSeq annotates it as small nucleolar RNA SNORD34. NCBI's taxonomy places the organism in Eukaryota, Viridiplantae, Streptophyta, Magnoliopsida, Caryophyllales, Amaranthaceae. The record is from RefSeq and is a predicted model, not a curated record. The transcript has a single exon.
AAGGGCCUGUGAUGAUGCUUCAAAAGUUUGCCUACAUUGUCUGAAUAUUCAAUGAUAAGUCAUUAUUUGUGUCUGAGGCCUAU